Molecule: ribosomal RNA, 265 nt
Filed under: uncultured Streptococcus sp.
Lineage: Bacteria; Bacillati; Bacillota; Bacilli; Lactobacillales; Streptococcaceae
Description: partial 16S ribosomal RNA
Rfam family: Bacterial small subunit ribosomal RNA
Source: RNAcentral
CCAUCAUUCAGUUGGGCACUCUAGCGAGACUGCCGGUAAUAAACCGGAGGAAGGUGGGAUGACGUCAAAUCAUCAUGCCCCUUAUGACCUGGGCUACACACGUGCUACAAUGGUUGGUACAACGAGUUGCGAGUCGGUGACGGCGAGGCUAAUCUCUUAAAAGCCAAUCUCAGUUCGGAUUGUAGGCUGCAACUCGCCUACAUGAAGUCGGAAUCGCUAGUAAUCGCGGAUCAGCACGCCGCGGUCGAAUACGUUCCCGGGCCUU